This is a non-coding RNA of Lonchura striata (white-rumped munia), 2685 nucleotides long. The record is from RefSeq and is a predicted model, not a curated record. NCBI's taxonomy places the organism in Eukaryota, Metazoa, Chordata, Aves, Passeriformes, Estrildidae.
GUUUACUUGGCUUUGUCAUAUUAACAAACAGAUCAGCUGGUUCAGUUUUAGGGUUAUUUGGGGGAUUUUAUAAAUACAAGUUUUUCUGCCAAAAAAACUUAGAGAAGCCAAAAGUAAUACAAAAUAUUUGAGGCAAGAAGGAAAUGAUAAUUUCUUUUCGAGAGUAAGCUUUUAAGUAAAGUUUCAGCCCCAGUAAUUAGUGUGAUGUUUUUUGAAAAUAAUUAAACAGUGAAGUGGAUGAAAAUGUUAAAACUGCUGAAUAAGGCAGCUGUUGUAGAGUUUUCUUUGCACAGAAAUCAAUUGCAGAGGCAAAACUUUGUACUCUUGAGAAUGUGUAUUCUCCAAAUUAUGAGUCUUAAUACCAAGAAUUCUUGGUUUCUUUAAUUCCUUCCUUCUUUCAAAGGAAACUUGACCUGAUAGCUUCUGGUUCAUCAGAAUGUUCCUUGGGUACUGAUACGUUUAAGCACUGUUGUGGCUUCGGACAAUUGCUACUUAAAGGAAAUCUUUGUAUACAGAUUCUGAUGGCUGUUUUGUAUUUCAGAAAACUCAAACAUUGUGUCUUGCUUAAAUACCCUUUUCAUGUAGCAAUAGGAGCUCAGGGGAAAGGCACAUGAAUAUAAAAAUUAGCUUUCUAGUCUGUAGGAAACUGUCCUUGAAUAGUGCUUGGAAAUAAAUUUCAGUACAAAUGCAGUUUGUGCCACAAAAAGGAGUAUUGCAGCAUACUGACAAACUCAGGUGAUUUUUAUUAAUAGAUGAUAUUAACAUUUUGUGUUUAUUUUCGUGGACAUGAAUGUGAUACAUAAAAAACAAAUCACUCUGCAGAAUCCUGCUUGUUGCAUGAAUUAUGUGCAUAGUAUUUAUCUGGUUUGGGAAAAAUUGGGAAUGUUCUUUCUUAGGAAAACCUACUACUUGUCAUGUUUCCUGGGAAUAAUGUUCAUCUAGGAUAUCUGGCUGGCCUUACAUAAGAAUGUACAAGUGUCUUUUUCUGAAGAUAGUUUAGGAUGCAUUUGACUUCUAGCAAAAAUAAUUGGGAAACUAAUAAAAGUGACUCUUUGUGGGCCUUCCCAUAAUUAAAAACAAUUGUAGAGGGACGUUACUGCUUUCAUGCAUUUUGUUGGCUCUGAUUGCACAAGAUGUACAUCUCUAUUUUCUAAUUCAACCUAAGAUUUAGACUGGACUAUGUUCAGAAGAAUAUUAUAAAUCUUAAUCUUUAAACUUUGCCUAGAAAGGGGCAGUAGCAGAAAAUCUGGCCAAAUGAACUUUUUGCUUAAAAGACACUUUUCAGAAGAUUGUGCAGCUUGAAGCUGGUGUGGCUGAUAUUCAGUCUAAAGGUUCUGAACAAGAUAUUUCCUGUGUGCAGCUGCCUGCAAAAGAGAAUAGGGAAAUGGGCUGAAAUUCAGAGAGCAACUUUAAUUCUCACAAUCCAGACUUUAAACUUGCAUGGAAGAUGUCAAACGUAAGUACACAAUUCCUGGCAUAAGUAUGUUUACAACUUGGGUAAGCUGCUGUCUUGAAAUACACUGCUUCUGUGUUAAUAUUUUAGAUUAAGUCCCACAUGGAGGCAUUUCAGGGAAGAAUGUUGUCUCUUGCAAACUCCCAGUGCAGCAGCUGUUUCUGUAGUGGGAGUCAGAGACGAAAUGCAGGAAUCCGCUUUGCUUUAGUCUGAAACUGCCCGAGGCUGCAGAGUGUGGGGGAGGCCAGGCGAGGUAUUGUCACUGUUACCUGAUAACCAAGUAGUGGCCACAUUCCAAGUGGCAAUUAUUACUUCCCUCUGUUUCCAUUUUUAUCCUUCUUCAGCACUUUCUCAGUGGUAGGCUAAGAUUUAUUGAAGCAUUUAUUUUUAUAUAGAUAUUGUGGGUGUAGGUAGAGACACAUAGAAAAAUUAAGUCUUUCUGUGCUUAAACUGUACUUCUUAAAUUCAUUUUUCUUGGUAAUCAGGAAACAUGGUGUUUCAUAGUGAGCCCAGCAAGAUAUUAAUAUCAUCAAAGGCAUCCUAAAAUUGUUAAUGCUUUCAUACUACAUUAAGAAGAUAUCUUCAUACAUAAAAAGGCUGCCUAGUGUAGGCUGGGUUUAAAAAGAAUAAUUUUAAACUCUUUUCGGAUGUACAGAACAUUAAGAUAGGGAACAAAAUUCCAAGAGGUGUUUGUGUUCUAAACCAGCAUUAUGGUGUCCAAAAGAACCACCAACUUCUAAGAACUCCUGAAGCAUUAAAAAUUAUAGAGGAUGUAUAUUCUAAUGGUGUAAUUUUUGUUAUUUUGAUAUUCAUUAUAAUCAUUAUGGCAAAUUUAUAGAUGUGUUGUUUGGUCACUUGAGGGUUUCCCUUCUGCAGACUCUUCACAUCACUCCUUUACCCUGUAGGUUAUGAGUUCUGAUUGCUGUUUACUUUGUGCUGUAGGCAGUUUGUAUUCCAGGAAAACUACUAAUAGCUCACUUUUCUUCAGUAGCCUCUAAGUGUGUGUGUUAAGCAUUCAUUUUACAUUAGUUAAGCCUGUGAAGUGACCCUGGAAAUACAUUUAAAUUAUUAGUACGUGACAGAAAUCUGCUCUCCCUUUUGGUAGUCUGUUCAUGUACAUACCAACACAUACCAAACCAUGCCAGGCUCUGCUUAGAGCACAGGGCUGGAUCAGAUGCUUUCCAGAUGCUACUUUCAACUCAAAUUACCCUGUGAAUUUUCAUACAGAUGAG